CAGGACAGUGCCUUGCAGACUAAGAACGCACUGGACCCCCCAGUGAUAAGACAGGCGGGACAUGGAAUCUCACACUUCCGCCUCCACGGCUGGCAAUGGCUAACAGUACAGACAGCACCCUCCUCUCAGGAAGCAAGAACAAAAUGCAGGACAGGACUACCAUAGAGCAAAGCCACCGAGAAGGUUCUAGAGCUGUCCCAAGUAGGGGCACCCUAAGCCUGACAUAUAGACUUUACUGUGCGACCCCCGGCAAGGCUCAUAGCCUCGCUGAGCCUCUGUUAAGUGGGCACAGUGGCAGUGCCUUUCACAUAGCAUUUGGAGAUUGCGUGAAUGCAUUCGGCUUCAAACAGGGCUGGCCGGCUCCAAGGACCACUGGCACUAGUUGCGUCUUCAAAUUAGAUGCUCACCAGUGUGCAGAAGUCCAGGCCACUGGGGACCAGCAUUUUGUCCCCUCCUUUCCUCAGAAGCACGGUCACCUGUGUGCCUCAGCCCCUGCUAGGCACUGGAGGAACAGAAGCAGAAGCAACCUCAGGCCCUCCUACUGGCGCCACAGUUGGGGGGGCAGGGCAUGGUAGGCUGAGGCAAGAGGAUGAGGAGGGGGGGAAUGCUGCAACUAAAUUUGCUCAUCCAGCCUGUCAGUCCCUUAAUCUGGUCCCGGAGGAACAGCACAGAGGCUUCACUCUGGAUGACAAACGAGGAGGCCUGCCCUGCCUGGACGCUGGGUCCUACCAUGUCUGUGUAACCAACAUGAAACCCAGAGCAAAUCCCAGCAAACACCAUUUUUCUCCUUCAGAGGGGUCUUCCAGCGGUUCGCAUUCAGACCUGGGAAAGCAUUCUUCUCUCUGUGCCUCGGUAUGCUGAUCUGGAAAAUGGGCUUCCUGUGAGGCUCAGUGGAGUGAGCAGUCUAAAUACAUUAUGAGGUCGCAGAGGUCACCCAGAAUCCUAGCCUUCUGCGUGGAUACCCUCGGUCUCCUCUCCAAGCCUGCAGGGGCACGCUUGUGCAGAAGAGCCAAAGCUGUGAACCUCCCAGAAUAAAGACCGUCAGGCAUAACUAGAAGGGGGGAUUUAUCCUAGGUCUAGUAUCUUAAGGAGCACAGAGCAAAGAUCUAGAGGCCGGCUACCACCACUGACCCGUGCUGCCCAGUCCAGCAUCUCCCAGCUUCCUGCGUGCAACCGGUUUGGUGGUGCAGUCCUCUGACGUCACAGACUCGAAGCCCUUAAGGCUUGUUGAACAAGGCUCCGUGCAAGGGUUGGGGGUACUUCUCGGUUGGUGGAGUGGCCGCAAGCGUGCUCAGAACCCCGGACUUCCCACCGCCAGCUCCCCAUAAACUGGGUGUGGUGCCUGUUACCUCAGUACUCCCGAGACAGGGAAAACAGAAAAGGUGUCCCACACCUCAGGAAACUGGCCCCUGCAGAGCUACAUUUGACCUGGAAGAAGGUAAUGUGGAGAUGGAGGUCCAGUGUCGGGGUACUGAGGAGCAUAAAGGCAGUCCCAGAAGAUCUCUAGGCACAGCAGAUGCCCCUCUGAUGCGUACUUCUGAAGGAGUCUCCAGAAGGGCGGCAUGGAGGGAGGGGCUUCUAAGCCACGCCCUCACAGUUCUCCUGCUCUGACCUCUCGGGGUUUGCCCUGAGUCCCGCUGCAGUUCCGGACCUCAAGUGGACCCUGCCCAGGAUUCCCACCCCCUCACAAGGCCUGCAUCUUUCGCACAGAGCCACCAGGAGGCGCCCUGCGCCUGUAGGUCCCCUUCCCUGCCGCCUGGAUGAGUUAGGUCUGUGGCUGGGCGAUCAAAGCCUCCGAGCAGCCCAGAGUCCCUGCCCCGCUUCAGGGCGACCCUUUCCUUCUCAUACAUAAUGUUUCUCUGGUCGCAGCAGGGCUGCCACAGCUGAGCCGGUCACAAUGCGGCAAAUGUCCCACCAGUGAGCGGGUCAUCAGAGCUUCUUCAGCACCCGCCAAGCAGGUACCCUGCUCUUUCCCUGAGUCCCCACCUGUGGAGUUCUCGGUCUCAGUGCAAGCUCUGUGACCAUUGCCGGGCAAGGUCUGGUUUGGUCUGCUCUGGUCCCAGUCACAGAUGAGUCUCAGCCCAUUCCAGGUUUCCACGGAGCAAUGGUUCCCGCGCCUGCUUUGUUCAGACUCAUCCAGUGCGUUACCGCUUAGGCCUGGGUCACCGGGCUGGAGGUCAGGUCCUGCAAAGGGAACAGUCACCCAAUACCAGGGCUUCUUCUGACUCCCUCAGUCUUGGGGGGAGAUUCCACCUGGAAACCACCAGGAGGAAACCGGUCUGAUUUUUGAA
Mesocricetus auratus (golden hamster) is the source of this 2291-nucleotide long non-coding RNA. RefSeq lists it as uncharacterized. NCBI's taxonomy places the organism in Eukaryota, Metazoa, Chordata, Mammalia, Rodentia, Cricetidae. The record is from RefSeq and is a predicted model, not a curated record. The transcript is spliced from 2 exons.